Molecule: non-coding RNA, 1092 nt
Organism: Ictidomys tridecemlineatus (thirteen-lined ground squirrel)
Lineage: Eukaryota; Metazoa; Chordata; Mammalia; Rodentia; Sciuridae
Source: RefSeq, a predicted model, not a curated record
GAUGCUAAGUUGAAAUUUAAUUCUGCAUAGAGAACUUUACAUGGGAUUCAUUUAAUAUUACCUUGUGUUGAAUCCCUCAUCCCUGUUCCUUCUCUGUUUGUCUUUUUCCAAAAUUCACUGCUAUCCCCCAACCAAGAGGAGUCAGAGCUGAGCUGGGCACUAAGAAGGGUGCUUCCUGACUCCAGUUGCAGCCCUGGGGGUAGCUGUGGGCAAGUGCAGGGCUUCCAGAGGUCCAAGGGUUGGGAGGAGCUGUCCAGAAGCAUCUGGGUACAAGAGGAAGCCCUUCAUCUAGCUGCUUCAGCACCCCUGCAAGGACCAUGCAACCCUUUCCUGGGACCCUGAGUGCUUCUCCAGCAAGACCCCAUAGAACCCUCUGUCAUCUUCCAUGUCUCUACUGCCUGGUUCUGACCCUCUUCACUUUGCCCACCACCCCUGCCCCCCGUGGCCCUCCUUCCCAACACCCAUCCUGCUCUGCCCUCAGUCUGGUUUCUCUCACACCCCUGGGGACAGACUCUGUUCGUGGGGCUGACUGCUCUAGUUGUAGCCUUUUGUUUCAUUCCAGAUGUCCUUGUCACCUUCGAAGUUAAUAUUUUUCCCCUGGAUGGAAAGAUGAGGGUCCAGGGGGAUAAUCAGGGAGUGGCAACCCGGCCAAGCUAGGACUUCAGGAGUCCUAGGGAAGAGGUGGCAGCUCGACCUCUGCUUUCCCCCUUACGGCCGGGGAGAAAACAAGUCAAGGAGGAGAUUCAAAACCAGCGAGCAGGAGAAACCAUUGAAAGAACCGGGAGCUCAUUAUCCUGGAGAAAACAAGGCCUGAGCGCUCUACUUGGGUUGAAAUGACCUCUUGAGCAACAGGACAUGUCAGGAGUGGCAAGGAGUCAGGCUUCAAAUUCUAGCUGUGUGAUCUCAAGCAAGUCAAACAACCUCCCUGAGCCUCAGCAUGAUUACCUGCAGGUUGGUGGCAGGUAUUCUCACAUGGGCCCUCCCUAAAAGCUUCCUCUUCACCUCUCAUACUGCACUAUGAGGCUCCCCAAACCAGAGGUUGUUUGGUCCUGCCCAACAUCUUCUUGCUAAAAUAAAGGUGUCAGCCUCCUC